RNAcentral lists this ribosomal RNA (251 nucleotides) under uncultured bacterium. Its description in RNAcentral is "partial 16S ribosomal RNA". It matches the Rfam family "Bacterial small subunit ribosomal RNA", at positions 57 to 305 of the family's 1533-position model. The record is from RNAcentral.
GCAAGUCGAGGGGUAACAUGUGUAGCAAUACCUGAUGACGACCGGCAAACGGGUGCGGAACAUGUACGCAACCUUCCCAAAACUGGUGAAUAGCCCUCCGAAAGGAGGAUUAAUACACCGUAACAUAAUGAAGAGGCAUCUCUUUAUUAUUAUAGCUCCGGCGGUUUUGGAUGGGCGUGCACCGGAUUAGGUAGUUGGUGGGGUAACGGCCCACCAAGCCUACGAUCAGUAGCUGGUGUGAGAGCACGAUC